AAAAAGAUAAAAAACAUGGGAAACAUCAUAUAAAAUGUGUAAAUGAGUUGGGUCCAGUCGGCAAUUGAAUAUGAAGAAUAUUUGGGAUUCAUGGCCACGCCCUUUUUCAGUCAGAGAGCGGAGUAUUCCGAAUCCAAUAAAAA
Molecule: non-coding RNA, 143 nt
Organism: Caenorhabditis elegans
Lineage: Eukaryota; Metazoa; Nematoda; Chromadorea; Rhabditida; Rhabditidae
Source: Ensembl